AGACUUUCGGCCGCCGAAGGUAAUGUUCGGCCGCCGAAAGUGCCUGACUUUCGUCUCUGGAGAGAAGGUUCGGCCGCCGAAGGUGCCGCCGAAAGUGCCUGACUUUCGGGUCUGUCUGGACUUUCGGCCGCCGAAGGUGCCGCCGAAAGUGCCCUGCCCAGCCUUUUCUUGGGUGUUUUCUAUGCAUGCUUCUAUGAUGUUUUAGAGGGUUUUUGGGGAGUAUAUUAGAGUUAUGUUUAUGUAUGUUUGGCACCUCACUGGAGUCCACCUGUGUAGGAUCGGACCCGAGGAACCGAGGUGUUUAGUAGUGUCAGCCGUUUCAGAGUCGGCCCUGAGCUAGUCACAGGUGAGUGGAACACAACUCUCUUAUUUUAAAGUAAAUAAAUUAAAUGUUUUAGAGCAUGAUCCAUGCAUCAUAUAAUGCCAUGAUAUGUAUUAGGUUGUUUUGCAUUAGAACCCACGAAUAUGAUGCAUUGCAUAUUAUGUUGUUGAUGUGGAUGGAUUUUGGAUGAUCCUUAGCCCUCAGUAUGAGAUGAGAUAAUAUGAUAUGAUAUGCCAUGGUAUGAUAUGAGAUGAAAAGACCAGGUCGCCCCUGGUACUAUGUUUUUGUAAGCGAACACUAGGUGAGGCCUAAUCGCCCCUGGUGCAGUCGGACAUGUUAUGAUAUGAAUUAUGUAAGCGAACACUAGGUGAGGCCUAAUCGCCCCUGGUGCAGUUGGACAUGUUAUGAUAUGCAGAGGGCUAGUGGUGACAAAUUCAUCCUUUAUGUGAUUAGCUGUGAUGUGUUGCAUUUCAUGAAAGCAUGAUUGAGAAAAAGUUAAAUGAUUUGAUAAAUAAAAUGAAUAAUAACAUACCUAAAAAGUGUGGAAUUAAAGCAAAUGUUUUUAGUUUCUGCUCACUGGGCUUUUUAGCUCACCCCUCUCCCCUAUCCCCAGGUUUACAGGUUCAGAGAUAGUCAGGAGAUCAGCUGGAUACGUCCAUGGUCGUGCUUAUGUAAUAGAAUAGUUGUGGACAUGAUGUAAUCUAAGUUUAUGUAUUGAUGUAAAAAGAGUUGUAUUGUAAUAUGACCUUAUGUUAUAUGUUCAGAGUUAUAGUAUUGUGCUUGGCCCGAGUUGGAUAAUCCCCUUGUACAUGAGUUUUAUUUUAUAUUGUUUCAUGUGAUGGACCGAGUUUGACAUAGGGUAUGCUGACCUUAGAGGUUCUAUGAGUUCAGUCAUAGUGCAUACACAGGUCAAACGGGUUAAAGAAAAAGUUUACAGUUUUAUGUUUUAAAGUUUAUGCUUAUGUUGGAUCAUGUUUGGGAUUAUACCAGCUGUACAGGAUG
This 1324-nucleotide long non-coding RNA is filed under the name Manihot esculenta (cassava). RNAcentral describes it as "long non-coding RNA (MESC_LNC009464)". The record is from RNAcentral. Lineage: Eukaryota; Viridiplantae; Streptophyta; Magnoliopsida; Malpighiales; Euphorbiaceae.